This 2437-nucleotide long non-coding RNA is filed under the name Mus musculus (house mouse). Its description in RNAcentral is "long non-coding RNA chr5:105746834-105749271". Lineage: Eukaryota; Metazoa; Chordata; Mammalia; Rodentia; Muridae. The record is from RNAcentral.
GAAGGUGAGAGGAGAAGAAAAGAAAGAGAAAAAGAGAGGAUAAAAAGAGCGGGCACAGCUCAGCAGUGGUGCAGCACAGGUGUCGCCUGCAGGCGGCCCGGCUCCAUCCCAAGCACGGAGAGCAAACGUGGACACAGGUGACGGCAGACCCCAGAGCAGCCCAAAGCUGUUCUGUUUCUCGGUCUCUUUACUUUUGACCCAAGUCUUUGUAUUUAGUGGGUUUCUUAUGUAGAGUUUUCCCCUACCUUACCAGUACAUAGUUUGAAGCAUACCCAAGUCUUUCACAUUGAAUGGGCUCAGUGAUGAAGGGUAGUGCUUGCCAUGUUAGAAGUUGCUCUUUAGUUGUUGCCUUGGACCUUGGCUACCCCUUGGCUGACUUACGUGGUUUUUGUUUAUUUGAUGGUUUUGUUGUUUCUCACUAUAUUGUUCAGGUGGGCGUCCACGCCCUCUCAGUUCUCAGGUGUGUGGGUGCUCACUCUCAGUCCUUAGGUGGGUGCUUACUCUCAGUCCUCAAGUGGGCAUUUGCUCACUCUCAGUCCUCAGGUGGGUGCUUACUCUCAGUCCUCAGGUGGGUGCUCACUCUCAGUCCUCAAGUGGGUGUCUGUUCACUCUCAGUCCUCAGGUGGGUGUCUGCUCACUCUCAGUCCUCAAGUGGGUGCUUACUCUUGUUCCUCAAGUGAGUGCUUACUCUCAGUCCUCAAGUGGGUGCUUACUCUCAGUUCUCAGGUGGGUGCUUACUCUCAGUUCUCAGGUGGGUGCUUACUCUCAGUUCUCAGGUGGGUGCUCACUCUCAGUCCUCAGGUGGGUGCUCACUCUCAGUCCUCAGGCCUCUGCUCACUCUCACAGUCCUCUGUUCUGACUGUCUCUGGGAUUACAAACACACAUGGCCAUACUUAACCAUACUUUCUUUUAAAAAGCACUUAGUGAUUACUUUAGAGUUUAUAACUGACGCCACCACCUUAAUGAUAAUAAUAAUAAUAAUUCUCCCUCUUCCUCUUCCUCUUCCUCUUCUUCCUCCCCUACUUCCUCCCCUCCUCCUCCUCAUUAUUAUCAGGGACAUGCACAGCUUUAGGAUUGACCUGACUGGGACCAGGGAAUGACGGACACACACAUGUACAGAAAAGCUGGGAUCUGGCGGGCCCUGCGUUCUUGAUGGAGAUUCAUUAGCAGCCCAGAAACUCAGUAGUUGUUAAUAUAAGCUGAAGGAGGAUGAGGUUAGCUCAUCUCCAGAGGGUCCCUGGAGAGGAGCAGUCUUAAGCUUUAGUCCUCCUGGAGGAGGAGGAGGAGGAGGAGGGUUGGUACUUCUCUGAAAACCGUCAACAUCUGUAGUUGGAGCAGGCCUUGCCAUUCCCCUCAGCCUGACUGGUGGAAGUCUCUUCUGUUGAUUGGUUUAAUGCAUUAGGGUCUUUCACUCAUGUCACAUACGCAUGCUCAUUCUCACAGGGUACUCUCAUUGCGCACAAGUGCAUAUGCACACAUGUAUGCCCCGGUGCAUGGAUGAGAGUCAGGGUGAUCAUUUAGAGUCGGUUCUCUUCUUAGACCUUCACACAAGUUCUGCAGCGCAAACUCAGGUCAUCAGGCUCAUGUAGCAAGUGCUGUCCCUACUGCACCAUCUUGCUGGCCAUCAACUUCUGCUUUGUUUGUUUUUUGAGACAGGGUUUCUCCUUGUAGCCCUGGCUGUCCUAGAACUCACUCUGUAGACCAGGCUAGCCUUAAACUCAUAGAUUCUUCUGCUUCCCGAGUGCUGGGAUUAAAGGCACGUGUCACCACCGCCUGACUAACUUCUGCUUUAAAAUAAAUAAAUAAAAUAAAAUAAAAUAAAAUUGGGGGCUGGAGAGCUGUCUCAGUGAUUAAGAGCACUGACUGCUCUUCCAGAGGACCUGAGUUGACCAGCAACCACAUGGUGGCUCACAGCUACCUGUAAUGGAAUCUGAUUCCCUCUUCUGAAAGUAGAACACUCAUAUACAUAGAAUGCAUAAAUACAUAAAGACAAUUACAUAUGUGAUAAUGCAUAGAAUAAAAUUAAAAAGCUGUCCAUGAAUAUAGUAAGAAUAUUGUUGCUUGGUGGUAAGAUGAUAGAUAGUUCUUAGAUUUAUUUUCACUUUUAAUUUUAUGUAUGUGUGUAUAUAUAUAUAUAUAUGUAUAUAUACACACAUACAUACACGUAUAUCAUAUUAUAUAAUACAUAUUAUAUAUUGCAUAAUAAUACAUGGUAUAUUGUAUAUAAGUAUAUUAUAAUAUAUAAAAAUAUAUCUCAUAUAUAUAUAUGCAUGUGAAUGCUGAUGCCCUGGAAGACCAGAGAUGUCACAUCCCCAGGCUCUGAAGUUGCAGGUGUUGCCCAACAUGGGUGCUGGGAACUGAACCCUGUUCCUUGGCAAGAGAAAUCUCCUCUCUGAACAACCGGAGCCAUCUCUCUAGCCCUCUAGACUUCUGCUUU